RNAcentral lists this ribosomal RNA (394 nucleotides) under uncultured bacterium. RNAcentral describes it as "partial 16S ribosomal RNA". It matches the Rfam family "Bacterial small subunit ribosomal RNA", at positions 523 to 917 of the family's 1533-position model. The record is from RNAcentral.
AUACGUAGGGUGCAAGCGUUAAUCGGAAUUACUGGGCGUAAAGCGUGCGCAGGCGGUUUUGUAAGACAGAGGUGAAAUCCCCGGGGCCAACCUGGGAACUGCCUUUGGGACUGCAAAGCUAGAGCACGGCAGAGGGGGAUGGAAUUUCGCUUGUCGCAGUGAAAUGCGUAGAUAUGCGGAGGAACGCCGAUGGUGAAGGCAAUCCCCUGGGCCUGUACUGACGCUCAUGCACGAAAGCGUGGGGAGCAAACAGGAUUAGAUACCCUGGUAGUCCACGCCCUAAACGAUGUCAACUGGUUGUUGGGUCUUCAUUGACUCAGUAACGAAGCUAACGCGUGAAGUUGACCGCCUGGGGAGUACGGCCGCAAGGUUGAAACUCAAAUGAAUUGACGGG